GGAUGUGAGGGCGAUCUGGCUGCGAUGUCUGUCAGCCCAUUGAUAUCCAGGGGUGAUUCAGCUGAUCUGGCUAAGUGGGUGCCCCUUCCUCCCUCACCAUUCCAUGUGUGUCCUUCCUGAAGGUGCGCACCUGGUCAAUGGAAGGGGAGAUCCUUUCUUUGAUCAAGGGUAUACGAGUACCUGCGCUCCCCUGCUAGAAUCUCCUAACAAGCUCUCAAAAAAAGUCAUGAUAGUACAUUUUAAGUUAUAUAUAUAUUUUACCAUAGUAAAAACUCAUUCAAU
This 282-nucleotide small nuclear RNA is filed under the name Heterocephalus glaber (naked mole-rat). RNAcentral's name for it is "7SK RNA". It matches the Rfam family "7SK RNA". From Rfam's summary of the family: 7SK was discovered as an abundant small nuclear RNA in the mid-70s but a possible function has only recently been suggested. Lineage: Eukaryota; Metazoa; Chordata; Mammalia; Rodentia; Bathyergidae. The record is from Rfam by way of RNAcentral.